This is a long non-coding RNA of Pantherophis guttatus, 1927 nucleotides long. RefSeq lists it as uncharacterized. NCBI's taxonomy places the organism in Eukaryota, Metazoa, Chordata, Lepidosauria, Squamata, Colubridae. The record is from RefSeq and is a predicted model, not a curated record.
UAUGGACAAAUCAGUCUUUGGUCAGCUGAAGACUAUUAGCCAGUACAAAUCUUCACAUUGGGAUAGUGGAUUCAUUAAAAUGGUUCAGUACUGAUUUCUAAUACAACUAGAUAAUUUCAAAAUAUACUUUGAAACUUUUUCCACAAUAUUUGCGGGUAAAACUAUUGACGUUUUGACUGAUCUGUGAAAUAUGGGCAACUGAUCCCUUUACUCCUAAGCAUCUCUUUGUGAUGUAAUGUACUGAGAGUGACGAAGCAGAUAAGACUUCAGCUACAGAGAAAAUGGAUGUCUUCUUGAGAAUGCAUCAAAUCAUGUCUGGAAUGAAAUCCAUUUGAGGGCUCAUCUGAACUCCUACUCUACAAUAACAGAAUAGACAACAAAAGAAGAAUGCUUACUGUUUUGUUUUCAUUGUAAUGAAAACAAAAGGCUGCACAAAAGGCUGGCGUUAAUAUUUCCUACUGUGGCAUUUUCUCCAUCAAGUUAUUGGAGGAAGAGAAUGGACACACGUUCUCUGAUUUCUUGGACAAUUCUUGAAAAGUGGAGUUCGUGAUUUUCUUACAAAGUGGAAUGAAAAGCAGAUGAAAAUGCCCUAGCAGUGAACCAUUGGAUACAAUACUCUGCAUCACUGGACUGAGAGAAAAGACAAGAUUUGAUUUCUCACCACUUUCUCCAUACCGGGCAAGAAUUUAUAUAAGCUAUCUCUUCACAGUAAAACAGCAUGUGUGAGUGGGCAGGAUUUUUUUUUUUUCAAUUACAGUGAUUAAUGAAAUCAAACUGUCACUAGUGUGAAUUUAGUUUCUGAAAGCAAGAAAACUUGUUUAAAAUAUUUGUUGUAACAUGUUGCUAUUAUGACAUGUGGUUUUCCAUAGCUCAAGAAAAAGAAAAAGUCUCUGCUUUCCACACAGUUUUCUUAUCUGUCUAAUCAAAGUAACUUGAGCUGACAGCUGACAAAAACAGCUCUCCACAGAACAAGAUAAUUUACCUGCAUGCAGCUGAAACAGAAAAACCAAACUAUGAGUACAUUUAUACUCCCUGGAGGAGUAGAUAGUUAUAUGUAGAGAUGAAGACAGUGACGCUCACAUAACGCAGGCUUGAGAGUGAGAAAGAUGUUUGCAGUUUAAGGUGAUCUAAUAAUCGAGAGAUGAAGCGAUACACUUAAUGCAUGUCAAAGAGAAUUCUCAAGCAGAAUGAGAAUGCUUGGAAAUUGGGCUACCAAAUCUGGCUUGCAAAAAUCCCAAACCACUUGCUAACAAUAAAGAGAUACAUAAAAUUCAAACUUUCUGCUGGCUUGAAGCACAUGUCUUGAAUUAUAUAACCUAUAUCCAAUAGUUUGAAUGCAAAGAGAAAAGGACAAAUUAAAAGAAAAAUGAAUUAUUGCAAAUACAAGUUAAACCAAACACUAACUGAAAAAAUAGACACUAAGUUACUUUAUGGGAAAACAAUGGCUUGAUUAAUAUUAAUGAAAGUGUAACAAUCUAUCAAUAAACCUGUCUCAGGGGAUACACACCCUUUGAAUGCACCUAGCUUUCAUGUUAUUUCCUUUGAAAUAUUUAAAUCCACAGUUCUUGUUACAUUAUGCAACUACUUUGCAAAUCACCUGGUUCUCAGCCAACAGCAGGAUAUUAUUUGCACAGAAAAGUUCACAUAUAUUCACGUUGCCAACCCAUAUACAUCUAAGACCAUCACAAACAUGUUUUCUACGUUCAUCUAUACAUAAAAUAAACAACUAAGAGAACAUCCAUGUUUUAUUUCCAGGUCAUGGUUGAAUCAUUCACUAAGCAUCAAUUCUCACUGGACUUUACUUCCAUCCUAAACCACUUUAUUUCAUGUUUUGCAAUAUCACUAUAAUUCUGUUGUUGUUGUUGUUAUUGUUAUGCAUCAUAUCAUAAUCAAUUCUUGAUGAUUUUGAAUAAAAACUCAUUGAGCU